GGAUAGCGGAGAAAUUCCAAUCGAACUCGGAGAUAGCUGGUUCUCCUCGAAAUAGUUUUAGGACUAGCCUUGUUUCGUAGCAUUUGGGGGUAGAGCACUGAAUGAGGUAGGGGCCAACACGGUUACUGAACUCUAUCAAACUACGAAUACCAAAUGUGUAAGAACAAGAGUCAGACUGCGGGAGCUAAGUUCCGUGGUCAAAAGGGAAAGAGCCCAGAUCGUCAAUUAAGGUCCCAAAGAUAUAGUUAAGUGGAAAACGAUGUGAUUUUGCGUAAACAACCAGGAUGUUGGCUUAGAAGCAGCCAUUCAUUCAAAGAGUGCGUAAUAGCUCACUGGUCGAGUGAAGUUGCGCGGAAAAUUACCGGGGCUAAACUAUACACCGAAAUUGCGGAUUUGCAUAGAAAUAUGUAAGUGGUAGAGGAGCAUUCUAUAGUAGGACGAAGCAUAAUCGAAAGGAUAUGUGGACGAGAUAGAAGAGAGAAUGCCGGAAUAAGUAGCGAAAGCAUGGUGAGAAUCCAUGCCAUCGAAAGUCUAAGGUUUCCUGGGGAAGGUUCGUCCGCCCAGGGUAAGUCGGGACCUAAGGAGAGGCCGAAAAGCGUAUCCGAUGGACAGCAGGUAGAAAUUCCUGCACUACGUAAUACUUAAAAGACAUAAAUGACACAGGAGUGGAAGAUAAGCGAGGAAGAGGAAAGACUCGUAUCGAAAGAUAUAGUGAAAAUUAAAGUAACGAAUUAUCAAGAAGCUAAUGGCGAGAAAAGUUUAUGGAUAUUGUAUUAAGUACCCGUACCGCAAACCGACACAGGUAGAUGAGGAGAAGAUCCUAAGAUGAGCGAGAGAAGCAUUGUUAAGGAACUCGGCAAACUGACCCCGUAACUUCGGAAUAAGGGGUGCUGGAGUAAAAUCCAGUCGCAGAGAAUAGUCCCAAGCAACUGUUUAACAAAAACACAGGUUUCUGCUAAAUCGAAAGAUGAAGUAUAGGAGCUGACACCUGCCCAGUGCUGGAAGGUUAAGGGAAAGAGUUAGACGCAAGUCGAAGCUUAGAACUAAAGCCCCAGUGAACGGCGGCCGUAACUAUAACGGUCCUAAGGUAGCGAAAUUCCUUGUCAGGUAAGUUCUGACCCGCACGAAAGGUGUAAUGAUUUGGGAGCUGUCUCGACAAUGUACUCGGCGAAAUUGUAGUACUAGUGAAGAUGCUAGUUACCUGCGACAAGACAGAAAGACCCCAUGGAGCUUUACUGCAGCUUGAUACUGGGUUUCGGUAAUUUAUGUACAGGAUAGGUGGGAUGCUAAGAAGUAUGUGCGCCAGCGCAUAUGGAGCAGACGUUGGGAUACCACCCUUAAAUUACUGGAAUUCUAACUAUAAGUCCUAAGCGGGCUUGAGGACAAUGUCAGGCGGGCAGUUUGACUGGGGCGGUCGCCUCCUAAAGAGUAACGGAGGCGCGCAAAGGUUUCCUCAGCGCGGACAGAAAUCGCGCGAAAGAGUGCAAAGGCAGAAGGAAGCUUAACUGAGAGACAGACAUGUUGACCAGAUACGAAAGUAGGUCUUAGUGAUCCGGUGGUUGUAAGUGGAAAUGCCAUCGCUCAACGGACAAAAGUUACCCUGGGGAUAACAGGCUUAUCUCCCCCAAGAGUUCACAUCGACGGGGAGGUUUGGCACCUCGAUGUCGGCUCA
Molecule: ribosomal RNA, 1672 nt
Filed under: human gut metagenome
Description: bacterial LSU rRNA
Rfam family: Bacterial large subunit ribosomal RNA
Source: RNAcentral